Molecule: long non-coding RNA, 251 nt
Filed under: Elaeis guineensis (African oil palm)
Lineage: Eukaryota; Viridiplantae; Streptophyta; Magnoliopsida; Arecales; Arecaceae
Description: long non-coding RNA (EGUI_LNC004533)
Source: RNAcentral
AGGGAUGAGUACGUGGUUGUGAUUCGCAAAUGAGUGUAUCUCGCGAGAUAUCAAAAGCACCACCUGUUACCGACCACAUGAGAACACGUGGAAUUAGUAUAUUCUUGACCGUUCUAAGUCUUAUGUAGCUUUACGUCUACAGGGGUGACGUCUCUCGAAUGUCGUCGACAUUCCGAGCCACAAAACUACCAAGUACGUGUUUUUUUCACUUUUUUGGUAAAAUAUGAAGCACGUGUGUGAUGGCAAUAUAU